RNAcentral lists this long non-coding RNA (2185 nucleotides) under Gossypium barbadense (sea-island cotton). Its description in RNAcentral is "long non-coding RNA (GBAR_LNC023380)". The stretch from base 532 to 676 matches the Rfam family "MIR7502 microRNA precursor family". Lineage: Eukaryota; Viridiplantae; Streptophyta; Magnoliopsida; Malvales; Malvaceae. The record is from RNAcentral.
UUCAAUAUUUUCUGUUCUUAUAGAAAAAGAGAUUUGUGGAACUGGAGGUCUUCAAAUUUCCAUCCAGCAGAAGAAUGAUUAAGGUAUCGAUUAUGGCGGAGCUGUUAGGAGAAUGCAAGGUGGCGCUAGCAAGGGUGAGGGAGAGGCUGUUAACACCAACCCCAACCUUUCAUUUUCACCCUUUCCCUUCUUCUUCUCAUGAUUCUUCUUUCCUUGUUUACUUUUAGUAAUUUAAUGUUUCUAGUUUGGAUCUUUUUCUGUGUUUCUUUUUCCUUUUACAUAUAAUUUUCAUCAUCCUCAUUCUUUUCUUAGUGCUCUACGAUAAUGUAAAUUUCAGUAACCCUUUUUCUGUUUCCUUAUUGUAGUCAACAGCUUAAUUAUGAGACAUCGGUGUGGGCAGAAUCCUAAAUUAGUUCCUUUGUAUUCACCUUAUCACUACCUCUACGAAUAAAAACGACUUACACUUGUCAAAUUACAUUUUAUCCCAGGUAAAUUAUUCUUAUAUAUUAGAUUAAAAAGUAAAUUAUUUUUUAUUAAAACUUUCAUCUAUUUCUACAGUUAAAUAUUGAUCUCUAUAUGUCAACAUGAUGUAUAUAUGGCAUGUCACGUGUCAUUGUCUAGUUAUUUUGUCAAUCGCAUCAGUUUUUAACGAUACAAAUGAAUGAAUCUUUUAACAAAAAUGAACAAUUUGCUCUUUUAUCUAAUAUACAUGGACUAACUUGUCUUUUUUUUUAAUAGAGGGAGCAAAAUGUAAUUUAACUCCUAAUACAGUGGCCUCCAUAGUACUUUUAUUAGAGAUGCCCAAUGAUGGUUAUUAAAAAUUCAUAUAAAAAUGAAAUGAUGUUUUGAUUGUAAUGAUAAAUUAAGUUAAAGGUUUUGCAUGCAUGAUAUUCUUAGUUCAAAUCUUAUUAAUUUAUAGGUACAUUUUUUUAUUGAUUUAUAAAAUAUAUAAAACAGAACAAAAACACUCUCAUAAUGAUAUAACUUAUUUUGCACGUAGAAGAUUAUUUUGAUAAUUUCACAAUUAAGUUGGUGUUCGAUUAGCUCGUGACUUAAAUAUAAAUACUUUAAAAUAAAAAAAAUUUUCUCUCCAACAAAAUGAAAUUGAAUGGAGGUUUGGCUCAAAGAAUAUAAAAAUAAUUUUGAUAAUAGAUUAUUUUGUCUGGUUUAUUUGGUUGUGAUGUAAGAUUUGAUGUUUGAUUGAUGAAACUUAAGAUUAUUUAUUAAAUUCUUAUUAUAAAAUUUAUUUAUUUUUAAAAAAAGUUUAGUUUUAUUUUUCAUAGUCACAAUUUUCAUAAAUUACAAUAAAUUGUGAUAAUUACUGUUUUUAUUACAUAUUAAUAAUUAAAUAUAUGAUGUUGUAAUAAUUAUAAUAAUCGUGAAAAAUGAUUGCAUCAACAAUCAUAAUUUGUAAAAUUUUAAGAUAAUGUAGUCAUUAAGUUAAUUAUUUUGAAAUAAAAAUAUUAAAUUUUAAGACGUUAUAGGACCAUGUCAAUACUAUCGUUAGGAUAGACAUCGUAGUGUCAGUGUUGAUCCUUCCUUAUAUGUAACCAUAUUAUAAAACCAAUAUUUGGUUAAGUAGAUCCAAAUUUGUUCUUUUAGAUUUCCUUAGUUAUAACUAAAAUAGAUUCAAUAAGUUACUAACGGCAACUAAAAAAAUAUCAAUGGAAACUUAAAUUUUACUUUUUUUAUAUAUCAUAUUUGGGGUGGAGAUGAAAAUAACAAAAUUUGAAUUCGUGUCUAACGAUGUCCGAUACACUCCAUACAAAUUAAAAACUCGUAUAAAAUUUUGUUUCAAAUAGAUCAAAUUGUCGAAACCAUUUUUAUGAUUUGAAAAAUGGGGAUCGACUUUUGAAAAUAAAAUGUGGAGUCGCCACCGAUCUUUUAUUAAUGUGUGAUCGGUUCACCAUUAAAAAUAAAUUUUAGGUCUGCGAAAUUUGAGAAAACAGGUUCGGGAGUCGGUUACGCACGAGAAAGGGUUAGCACCCUCGUAACGCCCAAAAUUGGUACCGAAUCGAUUGUUUAAUGUCUUAAUGUUGCAAUUUUGAAAAGAUUUUAAAAUACGAUCCUUUGAAAAGAAAACUUGAGUAAGAUGAUUUGGAUAUUUAUUUCGAUCAAAGAAAAUGAAACGAAAAGCAGCGAAAAAAAAAACUCGAAUCACCUUUAAGAAAUUUUUUUCUGUAUA